UCCAUUGUUUCAAGACCAUAGGUCUGUUAGCAAUGGAAUGUGGACCAGCACAUAUGACCUCUUUAGCAUCUUCCAUGGCUUGAAAUUUAGCUACAUAAUAACCCUCCUCAUGGUAGUAUAGAUCUGGCUCUGGAAAAUGAGACCAGUGUAGACUAAUGAAACGUUUCAUAGCAUUGUAACCUGGUCCAGUCCCCAACACAAAAAUCAC
Molecule: long non-coding RNA, 208 nt
Filed under: Nicotiana benthamiana
Lineage: Eukaryota; Viridiplantae; Streptophyta; Magnoliopsida; Solanales; Solanaceae
Description: long non-coding RNA (NBEN_LNC024079)
Source: RNAcentral